This is a long non-coding RNA of Esox lucius (northern pike), 2071 nucleotides long. Lineage: Eukaryota; Metazoa; Chordata; Actinopteri; Esociformes; Esocidae. The record is from Ensembl.
GUUUUACAGGUGGAGAGCACAGGACGGUCUGGGGGUCUUACAGGUGGAGAGCACAGGACGGUCUGAGGGUCUUACAGGUGGAGAGCACAGGACGGUCUGGGGGUCUUAAAGGUGGAGAGCACAGGACGGUCUGGGGGUCUUAAAGGUGGAGAGCACAGGACGGUCUGGGGGUCUUAAAGGUGGAGAGCACAGGACGGUCUGAGAGGCUUACAGCUCGAGAAGGCAGAACGAUUUGAGAGGCUUACAACUGGAGAACACAGGACAGUUUGAGGGGCUUACAACUGGAGAAUGGCAAAUGUUUGAUUCCUGGAGUCACCAAGUCUCCGAAACAACAAGACACCACCUCCAUGCCAACACAUUAUUUGGAAGUCUUGUUACCAGGUGCUUUGAUCAGAUGGGUCGAAAAUAGAGCUUCCAGGCCACAAAUGACAGGUGGGUUUAGGGCACAAAUAGGGAAGGUCAUGCUCAACUUAAAAUGAAGUAUAGAUUAUGAUAAGUGGUUAGUUAGACAGAUUUAGAACAAUAUCUGUCUGGCUCUAUAACUGGUUCACUGUUGGAUCUUCCAAAAGGUUAAUGAUCUAAAGCAUUCUUCCAGAUCCACACAACAAUGCCUCAAUGACCAUAACAUCGGAGAGACAACGUCAGCACCUGUAGCUGGACAAAAGUCAUUGGAAUUUUGAUCAGAACCGCUUUUCAUGGUCAGAUGAGACAGAGCUUUUUGACCUAAAAAAAAGACAUUUCUGGGAGAGUCCACAAGCAAGGACCAUGGACUCUGAAGCACCUGGAGAGUUUCUGCAUUUAAUAGAAUGGUCUCAGAUCCCUUGGAGUGUUUUAUCUCACCUCAUCAAGCAUUAUAGAAGACUCAGUGCUGUUAUUUUGGCAAGUGGAGAGUGCACAAAUCAUUAAAUGCCAGGUGCCAUUAGUCCUGACAUGUUUUUGAGACAAUUAAAUAAUCUAUUUGUAGUGUGCUUCAGUCAGAUCCAAGCUCCCACACAGCCCUUGGCAACAGGGGUUAGUUGCCUACCCCAGCUCUACCUAAAACAGGUAUUAUCUAAAACAUUAGCUGCAGUAAUCAAAAUGACGUUACUGUCUUUGAAUGCUUUCAGGAGGGAGGGGGGGGGGUGUUACCACAGCUCAUGCACAUUUUUGCUGAUUCCACUCCACAGCAUCAUAUACUUUCUCCACAAUACUGUAAGUGCACAUGAAAAUAAUAUUAGCCAACUAACUUCUUGGUGCAAUAUUUGCAUUAUUGUACACAUGACUUAACAAAAGGAAGUCGACAGUUUGCUAAAACCCCCCAGGGAAAUCACAGUGGUGACUGUGCGACCAAUGACGAGGAAGGAGAGAAGGCAAUCAGAACAUCAGAAAAGACGAACAACAAAUUUUCAACACAACUCCCUCCCUCUCAUUCUCCACCCCCCAUAAGGAAGCCUGUUCCUCACCCCUGAGGAUGUUCUGAUUGCAGUCUGUAACGGGUUUAAUGACAAGGGGAAAGUUUGGUGCCAUUGUGAUUAAUAAAAUAAUAUUAUGGAAAUGACAAAACUCAUUCAAUUGAGUUUUGUGUUGAAAAGUGGAACUCCAUAGGUGUUGCUUGGAUGCGUUUCGAUGGGUAAUAUAUUAUACAGGGAAGUCGGAACCAUUUGGGAUACGUUACUAUAACAUCAGCUUCCGGUCAAAAUCUAUAUCUAUACUGUAUCUAUAAUGUAACUAUAUCUAUACUGUAUCCAUAUCUACAGUGGGGAGAACAAGUAUUUGAUACACUGACGAUUUUGCAGGUUUUCCCACUUACAAAGAAUGUAGAGGUCUGUAAUUUUUAUCAUAGGUACUCUUCAACUGUGAGUGACGGAAUCUAAAACAAAAAUCCAGAAAAUCACAUUGUAUGAUUUUUAAGUAAUACAUUUGCAUUUUAUUACAUUGAUACAUCAGAAAAGCAGAACUUAAUAUUUGGUACAGAAACCUUUGUUUGCAAUUACAGAGAUCAUACAUUUCCUGUAGUUCUUGUCCAGGUUUGCACACACUGCAGCAGGGAUUUUGGCCCACUCCUCCUACAGACCUUCUCCAGAUCCUUCAG